CCUACGGGCUGCACCAGUGAGGAAUAUUGGUCAAUGGGCGCAAGCCUGAACCAGCCAUGCCGCGUGCAGGAUGACGGUCCUAUGGAUUGUAAAGCACUUUUAGUGGGGAUGAAAAGCACAUCACUAACACUGGUGUGUUUUGACCUAACCCAAAGAAAAAGCACCGACUAACUCUGUGCCAGCAGCCGCGGUAAUACAGAGGGUGCGAGCGUUAAUCGGAAUUACUGGGCGUAAAGCGUGCGUAGACAGUUAUUUAAGUCGGGUGUGAAAGCCCCGGGCUCAACCUGGGAAUUGCAUUCGAGACUGAAUAGCUAGGGUACGGUAGAGGGAAGUGGAAUUUCCGGUGUAGCGGUGAAAUGCGUAGAUAUCGGAAGGAGCAUCAGUGGCGAAAGCGACUUCCUGGACCAGUACCGACGUUCAGGCACGAAAGCGUGGGGAGCAAACAGGAUUAGAUACCCCCGUAGUC
This 466-nucleotide ribosomal RNA is filed under the name uncultured bacterium. RNAcentral describes it as "bacterial SSU rRNA". It matches the Rfam family "Bacterial small subunit ribosomal RNA", at positions 338 to 795 of the family's 1533-position model. The record is from RNAcentral.